RNAcentral lists this long non-coding RNA (229 nucleotides) under Nicotiana benthamiana. RNAcentral describes it as "long non-coding RNA (NBEN_LNC037233)". The record is from RNAcentral. Lineage: Eukaryota; Viridiplantae; Streptophyta; Magnoliopsida; Solanales; Solanaceae.
GCAAUCUCUCUUUGGGAGUUGGAUUACUCUCACUGGCUCAUCAGGAGGUUCUGCAAAAACUUUAUUUUUUACAAUAGCCAUCUUUGAUAUUAUAAACAGAUAGAAGUUGAUCACUCCUCAUCUUUGUAGACUUGUGACAAAGACUCAUGUAUUCAUCUCCCAAUACCUUUAUGAUUAUCUUCAUUAAUUCUUUUACUGUACUAUUUCCUCUCACUUCAGUAUAAAAUCA